RNAcentral lists this ribosomal RNA (460 nucleotides) under uncultured bacterium. Its description in RNAcentral is "partial 16S ribosomal RNA". It matches the Rfam family "Bacterial small subunit ribosomal RNA", at positions 339 to 795 of the family's 1533-position model. The record is from RNAcentral.
CUACGGGGGGCUGCAGUAAGGAAUAUUGGUCAAUGGACGCAAGUCUGAACCAGCCAUGCCGCGUGAAGGAUUAUGGUCCUCUGGAUUGUAAACUUCUUUUAUAUGGGACGAAAAAAGGUCUUUCUAGACCCCUUGACGGUACCAUAUGAAUAAGCACCGGCUAACUCCGUGCCAGCAGCCGCGGUGAAUACGGAGGGUGCAAGCGUUAUCCGGAUUCACUGGGUUUAAAGGGUGCGUAGGCGGGUAGGUAAGUCAGUGGUGAAAUCCUGGAGCUCAACUCCAGAACUGCCAUUGAUACUAUCUAUCUUGAAUAUUGUGGAGGUAAGCGGAAUAUGUCAUGUAGCGGUGAAAUGCUUAGAUAUGACAUAGAACACCCAUUGCGAAGGCAGCUUACUACGCAUAUAUUGACGCUGAGGCACGAAAGCGUGGGGAUCAAACAGGAUUAGAUACCCGGGUAGUC